GGCAAAGUUUUCAAGCGUGGGGCUGUGCUGUGUGGAAGACUGCGGCAAAGUCAGGCAGUGAUACCCAUGAGCAGCUCAAUUCCAGCUUGAUCAAUGUACCCGCUAUUUAUUGACGUGAGUUAGACUCCCUCGUUAUGCGUUGGCCCCAAAUUGAGUUGGAUUGUGUGGUAACUUUGCUUCUCCCGACUUGCUAAUUUUACUCUACAUUUUUCUCUCUUUCUGUGUGCCCAACUCUCCAGGAAAAAGAAAAUGGAUGUGUUUUGAAAGAGAAACUAGAUAUGACGAAGGAAAAGAAACUUGGCAAGCUGAAAAAAGAGACUUGCUGGUCCUUCUUUGACAAGAAAAAGAUAAUGAGCGAGUUAUACGGAACAUUUUUUCCGAUUUAAAGGGCAAAUUUCGGGUGUUUUUCAGGAUUCACCAAUCGAACCCCACUGAAAAAAUUGUGAAACCUUAUUUAAACGUCUUGAAUUACCACCAAACCAUUGAAGAAUCUUCAGAGUUACCAAUACGGAAAUUUAAAUACGUCCGAAAACAUCACAGGAACAGCUAUUUUUUGAGGUAUUCUCAUUAAGAACCAGCUCCAACGUGCCAGGAAAGCAUGAAUUUCCGCUGCCACACAGGCCGAUGAUGAAUACUCUUCAAGGAGUCACUUCAUCGUGGCAACUUUAAAAAACAUGAAAGAGAAUGCCAACGAAAUCCUUGAAGGAACUUUUUAUCUGAUUGAUUUUGUGGGAUCUGAAUCAUAUGAUUCUAAAAGCGCUCAUCAAAGGAAAGGAGAAACGUCCCCCAUAAACACUUCUCUUUCUGAACUCACCUCGGUUUUUCGAGCUUUCUCCGAAAAAAAUUAUACUUUUCGAAAUUCUAUUUUGAUUUGUUUCCCAGAACUUUUUGAACAGCAGCAUAAAAAGUUCUAAUGAUGUUGAAUGUGGCCCCUAUUGAUAGCUGUUCUUGAGAGACAUAAAUAUCAUUAGAAUUCUGCAAUACAGCUAACUGUUGCUUGAUUGGUUCUGCUCGAUUGUGAUCCAGGAUGUCACAUGGUUCAUCAAUUCCCCAGCUAAAACAAAUACCCGGACUCCCCACCAAAAAAACCUCGGUGCUCCCGAAAAAAGCAGUCCUUUGCCUAUGCCUUUGACAUAGAGGAUAAAAUCCACCAUUUCCUGUGUAGAAGAGUUCCAUUUUGAUCCAGUUUUUCUCCACCGAGUAUUUAUUCACAAAUAAAUGUCAAAAUUAAUUGUUUUAUCUUUCUUAUUAGGCGGGAACGCUGGAUCUGAAUCCGCAGGAUAGAUUCCCCACAGCUUGGAGUUUUUUUCUCAGUUUCAAUCCCUUAAAUCAAAAGAAUGGGAAUUCAAAUUAGGGGUCUCUUUUUGGAAAAUGUACAAUAAUAAGGUAUAGAUCUACUGAACUUCACUGCUGGUGCCUUAAAAAUAAGGGAAAAGAUGGCCCAAAAUUACGUUCCUAGAAGGUAUGAAUGGUACUAAUGUUCCCCAUAUACGACGUCGGAUUUGGUACAACCUUUUGGCGUCACCAAAUAUUUUUCCGUGAGAAAUCCAAUUGUGUAGGUCCAUUGCCGUCCCUAAAACGACUUUAUUUGGAUCACUCUUUUAUAUCCAUAUUCCGUUGUAAUUAGACCUUAUUCGUACUAGUAGGACACCCAAUUUCUUCUGCAUCAGUAAAAAAAUCAUUCAGGCUUGGAAAUGUUAUUUACCUCAAUAAACUAAUUUCUUCUCUUAUUGAAAAAACGAUGGUUGCUCGGUCAAGUAACUGGCCGAGGUCGAUCGAAGAGUUUCAUUCUGGUCUAAAGUUUUGUCCAGGAUAUAUCAAUUCGCAUAGCUUUCAAAUGUUGAAUGCUUUCAGAUAUUUUGUCAAUUUCUUUCUGCGUUGUCUCUUCUUUUUUUAUUCGUCCCGCAUUUUCAAAUGAUUCUUCAUCAAUUCCAUGAGUUACAAGCCAAUUGUGAGUGUCUUCCGCUUUUUCGAGUUGUAAUUUAAUAUCUCGCUGUUUCUUUUUUUUAAUUUGCUUCCAUAUUCAUCACUUCCUCAAAAUCGUUCAAAAUUUUUUUCUCUGUUUGCUUCAUGCUUAGCGAUGAGGCUUUAAUGACUUGAUUUGCCAGCUGUUCAAAUAAAUCAAAAGCAUCGCAGACUUUCUUUGUCAACCUGGCUCCAGCGUCAACCACUUCUUUGAUAUUAUCCAGGCGUCUGUCCAAAAAUGUCUUCAAUUUUACUCUCGUUUGAACUUGUUACGCACCUCACGCAAUCUCUUGCGUAGCCAGAUACUUGACCCUCUGUAAUAACAGAAUGUUCUCCAAAUUUUUAUGAGCUUUCGCAAAGUUUUCGUUGGAUUCUUUGGCGAUUUGCCACAAAAUUGUGCGGAAACUCUCUGGAGCUAAAUAAAUUG
Daphnia pulicaria is the source of this 2392-nucleotide long non-coding RNA. RefSeq lists it as uncharacterized. Lineage: Eukaryota; Metazoa; Arthropoda; Branchiopoda; Diplostraca; Daphniidae. The record is from RefSeq and is a predicted model, not a curated record. The transcript has 6 exons.